Molecule: ribosomal RNA, 590 nt
Filed under: uncultured Poribacteria bacterium
Lineage: Bacteria; Candidatus Poribacteria
Description: bacterial SSU rRNA
Rfam family: Bacterial small subunit ribosomal RNA
Source: RNAcentral
CUCUGUGUUACGGGAUGAAUUGGAUGUUGCCGAUAAAGCAACGUUUUUGACGUUACCGUAGUAGAAAGCCCCAGCUAACUACGUGCCAGCAGCUGCGGUAAUACGUAGGGGGCAAGCGUUGUCCGGAAUCACUGGGCGUAAAGCGCGCGUAGGCGGUGGAGUAAGUCAGACGUGAAAGGGUUCGGCUCAACCGAGCCAUUGCGUUUGAUACUACCUCACUUGAGUCUAGAAGAGGAAAGUGGAAUGUAUGGUGUAGCGGUGGAAUGCUUAGAUAUCAUAUAGAACACCCGUGGCGAAGGCGGCUUUCUGGUCUAAGACUGACGCUCAUGCGCGAAAGUUUGGGGAGCAACCGGGAUUAGAUACCCCGCUAGUCCUUACUGUAAACGAUGGGUACUAAGUGUAGGGGGAUUCAAUCCCUCUGUGCUGUAGCUAACGCAUUAAGUACCCCGCCUGGGGAGUACGGCCGCAAGGUUAAAACUCAAGGUAAUUGACGGGGGGCCGCACAAGCGGUGGAGCAUGUCGCUCAAUUCGACGCAACGCGAAGAACUUUACCAGGGCUUGACAUCUUAGUGACCGCCAUAGAAAUAUGG